RNAcentral lists this unclassified non-coding RNA (2034 nucleotides) under Hevea brasiliensis (rubber tree). The record is from RNAcentral. Lineage: Eukaryota; Viridiplantae; Streptophyta; Magnoliopsida; Malpighiales; Euphorbiaceae.
GCAAUAUAAUUCCCCUUAUAAUUUGUACGUCCUCCUUAAAAGGUCAAAAACAUUUAAAAAAAGAAGUUAGAUUUAAAUGCAUUUAUGUUAUAGAUGACUGAAUGAUGUACUUACAAAUGCUUGAAACUAGAGAAGACACACAGCAAGCAACACAUUUAUGAAAUAGAAUUGGCACAUGAGAAACGGACAUCUGAACAGUGAUGGUUAAGAUGCCCCUAACCCAUCAGUAAAAGAAUUUCCUAACACCUCAAUGUCCAUGAAAAAUGUGUACAAGAUGGUCAACUAGAACUACCUAUAGGUAAAGGCUCAGCUGUCCAUAAUAAGAUCUAUUCAAUUUUGUUAGAUAGAAGCACCACCGUCACUACCAUUCAAACCUGAAGAAUCAUCUCCUAACUUUAUGCCUUCUAUUGGAGGCAGUGUAGCAUUAGAUGGCAGCUGUUCAUUGCCACCAAAAACCUCGUUCAGUUUCCCAUUCCCAUUAGGCCCAUCAUUUUCAUUGUAUCCACUCACCAUCAUAACACCACCAUUCACGUAAGCCGGAUAAAGAAACCCAUUGUUAUAAGGUGAAGGACAGAUUGUGGCUCCAAUCAGCACAGGUCCAUUCCAAGGGCUCCUUGGGGUAACUGGUGUAAAACCAAUGUCAGGUCUGCCAUAUCCUACCAUAGGGUAGCCACCAAAGAAGCCUGUUCCACAAAAAUACCCUCCAACACCACUAUACCCAGGAGUUGGAACAUAGCCUGGGAGAAUUUCAUAUCCAGGACCAUAAGGAACAUAACUUCCAGGUUGAGAAGUCUUAGUGGAAAGCCCUCUUACGCCUCCUUUUGUGAUAUGGUUAUUGUUACUACCACUAAUACAUUCUUUUGGCACAGCCCUCUUAACCUCCACGAGCCUACCAUUUAGCUCAUGAAAACUAUUCAACAUUACCUUCUCCACGGAUUCUUCGGAAUCAAAAGUGACAAACCCAAAACCCCUUGGCCUGUUGGUUAAGCUGUCUUGCAUCACAACUACAUCCACUAUCUUACCAAAGCUCUGAAAAUAAUUCUGAAACUGUUCCUCAGUUAAACUAGAUGAUAGACCCCCUACAAAGAUUUUUUUAGCUGUAAAGUAAUCAUUCCCAUUACUAUUACUACUAUUCUCAGAGAACCCACUGCUCUUUUGUUGAUUGGGGGAUUGUUGCUGCUGAAGCUGCUGUAAUUGCAACUGUACAGUUUUGGGUAUAGCUUUCUUCACUUCUACCUAAAUGAAAGAAAUUAUUACUGAUAAAUUAAACAACCAAAAACUAAUACAAAUAAUAAAGUCGCUUAGGUAACAGGGAAUACAAACAAUACCCUCUUAAUAAUAAAUCAAACCAAUACAAAGAAAUACAAUCUAAAAUUUUCUAUCAUUUUGACAAAAACCACCCUAGACAAUAUAUACGUCUUUCAUUGUACAGGAGUUACCCAUGAAAAAUGUUAAAUUCAAUCAGAUAAAAACACUGCAACACAGAAAAGAAUUCAAUUCAACUUUCACAUAAUCAUAAGCAAUUAGGCAUAAUCUUAAUUUAGAACAAAAGAAAACACGUAAAUUGAAAUAUAGUAUGACAAAAGAGAACUGAAACUGACCGUUCUUCCUAGUAUUACAUGAGAGUCUUGAAGGGCCUUAUCAGCGAAGGUAGGAUCAGAGAAAGUUACAAAGCCAAAGCCUCUAGGGCUUCUGGUAUUCUUGUCCUUGGCAACAUGAGAAGUUAAAACAGUCCCAUACUUGGCAAAGUGAGCUUUGAGAGCUUCUUCACUGGUCUCCCGAGAUAUACCUCCCACAAAUAACUUAGCUUUAUCGUUAUCCAUGUCAGUAACGUCAAAGAAAACCCUAAUUGCACCGAAUAUUGAAAAGCCCUAAUAUUAAAACCCCCAAAUUGGGAAGAAAAAAAACCCUAGAAAUCAAAAUUUCUAGGGUUUGCGAAGCCAGUGAAACCAGAGAGGAAAAAAUAACGCAUGGAGGGUUUUACUUUUACCUGCGUGGGCUUGUUUGUAGAAUCCAUGUCAGUAACGUCAAAGA